This 253-nucleotide ribosomal RNA is filed under the name uncultured bacterium. RNAcentral's name for it is "partial 16S ribosomal RNA". It matches the Rfam family "Bacterial small subunit ribosomal RNA", at positions 524 to 776 of the family's 1533-position model. The record is from RNAcentral.
UACGUAGGUGGCGAGCGUUGUCCGGAUUUAUUGGGCGUAAAGCGCGCGCAGGUGGUGCGGUAAGUCCUGUGUGAAAUCUCCCGGCUCAACUGGGAGGGUGCGGAGGAGACUGCCGGACUGGAGGCACUCAGAGGCCGGUGGAAUUCCCGGUGUAGUGGUGAAAUGCGUAGAGAUCGGGAGGAACACCAGUGGCGAAGGCGGCCGGCUGGGGGUGACCUGACGCUGAGGCGCGAGAGCGUGGGGAGCGAACAGG